ACAGAGGUGCUUGCACCUCUUGAGAGCGGCGGACGGGUGAGUAAAGCCUAGGAAUCUGCCUGGUAGUGGGGGAUAACGCUCGGAAACGGACGCUAAUACCGCAUACGUCCUACGGGAGAAAGCAGGGGACCUUCGGGCCUUGCGCUAUCAGAUGAGCCUAGGUCGGAUUAGCUAGUUGGUGAGGUAAUGGCUCACCAAGGCGACGAUCCGUAACUGGUCUGAGAGGAUGAUCAGUCACACUGGAACUGAGACACGGUCCAGACUCCUACGGGAGGCAGCAGUGGGGAAUAUUGGACAAUGGGCGAAAGCCUGAUCCAGCCAUGCCGCGUGUGUGAAGAAGGUCUUCGGAUUGUAAAGCACUUUAAGUUGGGAGGAAGGGCAGUAACCUAAUACGUUGGUGUUUUGACGUUACCGACAGAAUAAGCACCGGCUAACUCUGUGCCAGCAGCCGCGGUAAUACAGAGGGUGCAAGCGUUAAUCGGAAUUACUGGGCGUAAAGCGCGCGUAGGUGGUUCGUUAAGUUGGAUGUGAAAUCCCCGGGCUCAACCUGGGAACUGCAUUCAAAACUGUCGAGCUAGAGUAUGGUAGAGGGUGGUGGAAUUUCCUGUGUAGCGGUGAAAUGCGUAGAUAUAGGAAGGAACACCAGUGGCGAAAGCGACCACCUGGACUGAUACUGACACUGAGUGCGA
RNAcentral lists this ribosomal RNA (689 nucleotides) under Pseudomonas thivervalensis. RNAcentral's name for it is "bacterial SSU rRNA". It matches the Rfam family "Bacterial small subunit ribosomal RNA", at positions 70 to 756 of the family's 1533-position model. The record is from RNAcentral. Lineage: Bacteria; Pseudomonadati; Pseudomonadota; Gammaproteobacteria; Pseudomonadales; Pseudomonadaceae.